This 300-nucleotide ribosomal RNA is filed under the name uncultured Enhydrobacter sp. RNAcentral describes it as "bacterial SSU rRNA". It matches the Rfam family "Bacterial small subunit ribosomal RNA", at positions 496 to 795 of the family's 1533-position model. The record is from RNAcentral. Lineage: Bacteria; Pseudomonadati; Pseudomonadota; Alphaproteobacteria; Hyphomicrobiales.
GUUAAACUUGGGCACGGGGGCGUGGUAAGAAUGGGGGGGCGGGGGUUAAUCUGAUUUACGGUGCGUAAAGCGUGCGUAGGCGGCUGUUUAAGUCGGAUGGGAAAUCCCCGAGCUUAACUUGGGAAUUGCAUUGGAUACUGGGAAGCUAGAGUAUGGGAGAGGAUGGUAGAAUUCCAGGUGUAGCGGUGAAAUGCGUAGAGAUCUGGAGGAAUACCGAUGGCGAAGGCAGCCAUCUGGCCUAAUACUGACGCUGAGGUACGAAAGCAUGGGGAGCAAACAGGAUUAGAUACCCCGGUAGUC